Molecule: ribosomal RNA, 253 nt
Filed under: uncultured bacterium
Lineage: Bacteria
Description: partial 16S ribosomal RNA
Rfam family: Bacterial small subunit ribosomal RNA
Source: RNAcentral
UACGUAGGGAGCGAGCGUUGUCCGGGUUUAUUGGGCGUAAAGAGCUCGUAGGCGGUCUGUCGCGUCUGCUGUGAAAAUCCAGGGCUCAACCCUGGACCUGCAGUGGGUACGGGCAGACUAGAGUGCGGUAGGGGAGAUCGGAAUUCCUGGUGUAGCGGUGAAAUGCGCAGAUAUCAGGAGGAACACCGGUGGCGAAGGCGGAUCUCUGGGCCGUAACUGACGCUGAGGAGCGAAAGCAUGGGGAGCGAACAGG